UCCCAGACUCCUACGGGAGGCAGCAGUGGGGAAUAUUGCACAAUGGGGGAAACCCUGAUGCAGCGACGCCGCGUGAGUGAAGAAGUAUUUCGGUAUGUAAAGCUCUAUCGGCAGGGAAGAAAAUGACGGUACCUGACUAAGAAGCCCCGGCUAACUACGUGCCAGCAGCCGCGGUAAUACGUAGGGGGCAAGCGUUAUCCGGAUUUACUGGGUGUAAAGGGAGCGUAGACGGCGGAACAAGUCAGAAGUGAAAACCCGGGGCUCAACCCUGGGAGUGCUUUUGAAACUGUUUGGCUGGAGUGCAGGAGAGGUAAGCGGAAUUCCUAGUGUAGCGGUGAAAUGCGUAGAUAUUAGGAGGAACACCAGUGGCGAAGGCGGCUUACUGGACUGUAACUGACGUUGAGGCUCGAAAGCGUGGGGAGCAAACAGGAUUAGAUACCCGAGUA
Molecule: ribosomal RNA, 446 nt
Filed under: uncultured bacterium
Lineage: Bacteria
Description: bacterial SSU rRNA
Rfam family: Bacterial small subunit ribosomal RNA
Source: RNAcentral